GGAGAAUUACUUCCAUUAUUUACCUUUCUAUACCUAUAAGGCUAUAACUGUUGAUUUAAAAAGAGAAAAAUUAAAAUUCUAAAGGGACCCAGCCUAACCAACGCUAAUAGUAAAUAGGGUUCACGUGUGGCGGGCGUUUUGAUGUCUUAUCGGACCCUCGCUCGCUCGAGACAGCGACGCGAGGCGCACCACAUUCACAGAGAAAAUCUUUAAACACAGAACAUAGUUUUCCGGUUACAUACAUAUAUAUAUAUAUAUAUAUAAAUAUAUUUAUUUAAACCUUUUAAUUUUAUUUUCUCUCUCAUUUAUCCAUUCUGAGGUCGCCGAAAACCGCCAAAUCUCUGCAAUUCAAAGCGGACUCUCUCUGCAAUUCCAAUUAUUACUCUCUCUUCUCGAAGUUUGAUGAUGCAGCUUAAGAAAGUUCAUGAAAACUGCUGCUGAUAGCAAGGUUCAUGGAAUUCGGUAUUUUUCCAUUUCAGUUAGCUUUGUGGAAAACUUAUUAUAAAUUUGAGAAUCUUUAUUACUUGACAAGGGUAAAACUCUCAGUUGAUCUGGUGAAUCUAAGCUUCUGACGUUCAAAGAGGGAAUUAUACAACUUACUCUGCAAAGGAUCUCUAUAAGUGCUUCUAUUGUUGGUUCAAAUAUUGUCAAAUGUCAGAAGUUGAUAUGGCAGUCAUUAAACCUGAGAUGAUGAAGUCCUACAUCUGGCUCCAGACAGCUGAUGGUUCAAUCCAACAAGUGGAACAAGAGGUUGCCAUGUUUUGUCCCAUGAUAUGUCAUGAAGUAAUACAAAAGGGCAUGGGAUCAUCCAAGAGCUAUGCAAUAUCUGUUCCGCAACGAGUCAAUCCUGCCUCAUUGAGCUUGAUUCUUGAUUAUUGCAGGUUUCAUCAAGUGCCAGGCCGUUCUAACAAGGAGCGCAAGUCUUUUGAUGAAAAGUUCAUUCGAAUGGAUACAAAGAGGCUAUGUGAGUUGACAUCUGCUGCUGACAGCCUCCAAUUGAAGCCUUUGGUUGAUCUUACUAGUCGUGCACUUGCACGAAUUAUUGAAGGGAGAAGUCCCGAAGAGAUACGUGAGAUAUUUCAUUUGCCUGAUGAUCUUACUGAGGAAGAGAAAUUGGAGCCUUUGAAAAAUACAACUGAUGAUCCACGGAUUCGACUUCUAAACCGUCUAUAUGCAAAGAAGAGGAAAGAACUGAAGGAAAAGGAGAAAUUAAAGAUUGUUGAGGUUGAAGAAGACCGUGUGGAUGACCGUUCAGUUGAUGACCUUUUGUCCUUUAUAAAUGGAGGAGAAGGAGAUUCUAAAGGGGUUAGAACUUCCAAGAAUAAGAAGAAGCAUCGAAGAAAAAAAGAUCAACAGAAGAGUGCCUCUGCUAAUGAAACCAUUAAAACCCAUAAGCAGGAGUCAAACGGGCUUAAUUCUUUAUGCCCUUGUGCUGAGGCUGGGAACGAGUUUAGGCCUGAUCAAGGAGAGACAUCAAAUAUGCAAGAUGUUGAGGAUGAUAUUUUUGCUCGGAAGUCUGAGUUUGAUGACGGUGAUGUAGAUGACGAGAUUGAUCCAGCAUUGAAGGAAAAAAUAGAUAGGGAGGUGGAGGAUUUUGCCCGGAGACUGAAUUCUGACUGGCCUGAAAGGAUGCAAGAGAUUCUAUCUUUGGGUCAAGAAAUAAGGCCACUACAUUAUUCUGUUAAUGGCAAUGGUAGAAGAAAUGCAAAUCGGGAGCAGAAAUGAUAUUACCCCAGAUUGGCCGCAUGGCUGGAACAAUUUUGAUCAGAUGCUUAUGCAGGUGGUUUAGUGGCGUCUAAGGAGUUGGUUUUGUCAUUAAUGUUUACAUACUGCUGAUGGAAACAAUGGAUCCUUGAGGAUUAUUUAAAUCACGGGGCUGCUUUGUCAGUGCAAUGGCGGAACUUUUUACCUGCUGUUCACAGUAUUUUCUGGCUUUCCUAUGAUGUGGCCAAAUUUACUAAGACGGCAAGAGGAAAGACGUAGAAGUCUGUGAGUCUUAAUUGGUGUUUCCCAACUUUAGUUACUUUUUGAGCUAUAUUGAGAGUGAUAAUUUAAUUGUAUCGAAAGGUGUCUGACAGAACAUUGUUUUUUCUUAAAUCUUGUGUCUGGAAUAUACGGACAAUGAAGAUUCUUCAUCAAAAUUGAGAUGAUAU
Pistacia vera is the source of this 2153-nucleotide RNA transcript. It is a transcript of the gene named SKP1-like protein 21, with no coding region annotated. NCBI's taxonomy places the organism in Eukaryota, Viridiplantae, Streptophyta, Magnoliopsida, Sapindales, Anacardiaceae. The record is from RefSeq and is a predicted model, not a curated record. The transcript is spliced from 11 exons.